AGAUCAAUGAGCUGUAGACUACAACUUCGCUACUGCACGUGUCGGUAGCAUUGCUGAUAAGCUGCGCGCGAGUUUGCGAGAUUUUCGAGUGUCGAACGGAUAUGUUACUUUGCGUGAUUAUAGUUUUCGUACCGUUUUUUUUGUCUCGAAAUACCCGUCGUGUCGGGAGUGUCGUGUAAAGUUUCGCGAGUGCCGUGAGUGCUACAGGAGCAAUGACUAUCGAGCAAGAGAGGAGGAGGCCCGUGGAGGCAUCGGACAACAGCGGGGCAACUGUAAAAUCAACGUGCUGUGUACUACAACUCCGCUAUUGGGCGUGUCG
Nylanderia fulva is the source of this 319-nucleotide long non-coding RNA. RefSeq lists it as uncharacterized. The record is from RefSeq and is a predicted model, not a curated record. NCBI's taxonomy places the organism in Eukaryota, Metazoa, Arthropoda, Insecta, Hymenoptera, Formicidae.